CGGGGAGUAGUUCAGCCUGGCAGAGCACUGCCUUCGGGAGGCAGGGGCCGGAGGUUCGAAUCCUCUCUCCCCGACCA
RNAcentral lists this transfer RNA (77 nucleotides) under Sphingomonas bacterium. RNAcentral's name for it is "tRNA-Pro". It matches the Rfam family "tRNA". From Rfam's summary of the family: Transfer RNA (tRNA) molecules are approximately 80 nucleotides in length. Their secondary structure includes four short double-helical elements and three loops (D, anti-codon, and T loops). The record is from RNAcentral. Lineage: Bacteria; Pseudomonadati; Pseudomonadota; Alphaproteobacteria; Sphingomonadales; Sphingomonadaceae.